Molecule: long non-coding RNA, 2091 nt
Filed under: Xyrichtys novacula (pearly razorfish)
Lineage: Eukaryota; Metazoa; Chordata; Actinopteri; Labriformes; Labridae
Source: RNAcentral
CAAUUUCAACCACAUAUGAAACACAUGUUCUUUCUCUAAAUCUGUCCACCUGUGUUUCUCCGCAUGUGCCGCUGUUGUGCAAGGGUGUCAGAGAAGGUCGUGAGACAGCAGCAGAGUUUGGAACAAAAACAAGUGGACGCUGAAAGAGAGACCAGGUGGGUUUGAUGACGGCAUGCCACUGCAGGAAUGCAUAUCUGUCAGCGUUGAACUUGUCCAAUGGGAAUCACCCCUGGAAUGUUUGAGCAUCACAGCUGAAGGUGUCAGCAGCAGUUGGCAGAUCAGGAACUGUGCGAACUGGGCAGCAUAGACCCAAAACAUGCGUGGUGCAACAGUGUGGAAACAGGUGUUUGUCAGUGAGAGACAGUAGAGGACAGGUCGUAAUGAUAUACAGUAUGAGAGAACUGAUCCCCAUAUUUGAAUUUGAUAUUUGAAUUAGUUCAUCAUAUCCUCAUCUUUGCUGUGUGGUUUCACUGUAUUGACAUGAGAGUGGUUCAAGCUCAAAGUUUUCUAAGUAAAGGGUUAGCAUUUGUUAGCUAUGGCGAGGUUUUAGGGCCACAUAAAAAUUAGUUUUUAGAUUUAAUCUCGUAAUAUUACUACUUAAUUUUUUUUUAAAAUACUUUUUAUACUACUUUUUUUUUUAAAUGUGGACCUAAUAUUCAAUAAAAUAUUGUAAAAACAAAUGAGCUGUCUGAUGGCAAAGUAAAGUGCUUCUGAUUAGAGCGUACGCCUAAAUCGAAACUUAAACUGAACUAUAAUUCAGGCAUAUAGGAUUAUUACAGAUUCUAAUGUAAGGCUUGUGCAUCAGAAGUUUGCACAUGUGCCUUUCUCCCUCAGACAGUGUUGAGGGAUUAUGAAGGGGCCCAUGUUGGAAAAACCAGAGGCCCUUAGAGUACCAGUCUGAUCUCUAAAUACAUACACAAGCACCCAGGGGUCAUGAACCAGGGGUCUCCUGGGACCAGUUGCUGCGUGGUCCCUCUCUACACACGAGAGGGACCACGUAGGAGGGAGGGGGUUUACCAUGUGAGCGAACCACUUGCUUUAGAUGUCAGAGGGUUAAUUUAUGAUCGCUGUUUGAUGUCACAGCAGCAGCUCUGACAUGUUACACCUCUAUGUGAAGGGAAAUUGCAAGUGUGAAGAACCUACUCAAUGUGUAAAUUAAAAGGCAACAAUCAGAGCUCCUUUUUUAAAAUCAUAUUUAGGUUUCCUUGGUCCCCACUGACCUCGAGGAGUUUCACAUCCAGGCCUCACAAAAGCAAAUGUGCUGCCCCUGUUAUACACUUCUUUUGGGUGUACCUUGGUGCGCCUUCUCCCAGCCUGUUGUGGCCAACAAGGGGUGACUCUAGAGAGGAGCACUGCAAAUUCAGCGACGAUAAUGAUGGAAGUACAUCAGGCCUACAGAGGGCGCCAACCUUGUCAAUAAAGAAAACAACUCCAAUCUGAAAUUUAGGCUUCAGGGGAGGUACAGAUUUUAGCAUCUCUCUCCUUCAGGAGGCAGACACCCUCCCUUAAAAAACACAUAGGCUAAAUUUACAUGAUUAUUUAUUCAGAGAGAGAUGAUCGUAAAGGGUGCCACAGGUUCAGGACAGCUCUUAGUCAUUUAGCUACAGGUUUGGGCUGCCUAAGGCUUGGAGCAGAUCAGAAGUAUGUUACUUUAGGCUUAAGGUUAGGUUUAAACCAAGCACUGCUAUAGACUUGAAGCUGGCUCUUGGUUAUGGUUGGUUUUACUGCUUUAAGCUUUGACUGAAUCAGGCUGCUGAAGACCUAAUCUAGGUCAGGCCUAGACAGCUGUUGUGCUAUAGACUUCAGGAUGACUAGACCAGCUCUUGAUUAUGCUGCUUCAGGCUUUAGGCAGGCUCAGGCUGAAACCCCCCACUAGAUUAUUCUGUAAUAGAUUUUGACUGGAUCAAGCUUGGACCAGAGAAAACCAAGCAAACCAAACCCUCCUGUCAAUGGAUACAUUUUACAGUAAAAGGCUUCUUUGUCCUUUUUGGACAGGUUCUAACAUGCUGUCAAAGAAACGCCAGUCAAAAGAUGACAACGCAAGAUUAGCACCCUAUCUGAUGCUGCAUGAUGGGAAAACAGGAGAUCAGA